Molecule: long non-coding RNA, 2218 nt
Organism: Hemibagrus wyckioides
Lineage: Eukaryota; Metazoa; Chordata; Actinopteri; Siluriformes; Bagridae
Exons: 6
Source: RefSeq, a predicted model, not a curated record
UUUGAAAGAAAAAAAUCUGACACUUGAUCAACUCAAUGACCCUGACUGGCUGGCAGACCUUGCUUUUUUAGUUGAUUUGACCAGUCACCUGAACGCACUGAAUAAAAGCCUGCAAGGCAAGGACCAGCUAAUAUCGGAAAUGUAUGCGCACUUGAAAUCUUUUUCUGUGAAGCUACAGUAAGACUUUUUGAGAGACAAAUCAGUGACCGCAAUGCUGUGCAUUUUCCUAGUUUGUCUGAAAUCAUCUCGAGUUUUUCAGAUCCAACAUCCCUGAGAAAAUGGAAAAAAAUUCGACAGUGCUCACAUCCCUAAUCACAGGAUUUAAUCAGCAUUUUCAAGACUUGUCCGCUAUUGAUAACGACAUCAAACUGUUCUCAACCCCUUUCUCUGUUAAUGUAGAAGAAGUACAAGAGAAUGUGCAGCUGGAACUCAUAGAACUUCAGUGCGAUGAUUCUCUUCGCAGCCGCCACCAGAUUCUUCCCCUGUCCGAGUUUGACAAGAGUUUGGAAACCUCCAGAUUGUGUCACACACAAAGGAUGAUGAGUCUGUUUGGCUCCACAUACAUAUGUGAGCAAACAUUUUCAUUGAUGACGCUGAACAAGAGUCCACUGUGAGCCAGUCUGACUGAUGACUGUCUGACUGUCUCUCUGUGAUCUGCUUCAUAUCUCUACUACAUGACUUACUCCAGACUUGACAACAAUUCUGAAAUCCAAGGCACAACAUCACUGUUUACAUUAAUAAGUUAAUGGCACACCGGACCCAACCCCUCACCAGCGCCCUCACUCUCCCGAGUAUUGAUUCAGAUCACCUGCACCUCGUCAGUUAAUUACCUCCACUCACCUAUUUAAGAGCACUCUCUUCACUUCAUCCCUGUCUGGUCUUGUUUAGAUAUUGACUCCAUAUCACGCUGAUGUUGGGCAGCCUUUGUGCUAUAGCUUCCACUAUUUCCCGCGUUGCCUCGAAUACUACCGCCUCCUUUUCUUUCUCCUCCACGAUCGCCUCUCUUCCCUACUCUACUCUCCUCCGUGCACGGCAUCAUCUCCCUCCAGCUCCGGUUCUCAGUCUCCGCAGACAAGCUGAGUAUUCUCCUCUCUCCCUUUUUCCACCUGCAUUUUGUUGUUAAUAAACAUACCCCUUCCGGGGUUUAACUACUCCAUUGCCUGUUCUCUUCUCUGGUGUUAUCAAAUAGAUAGAUAUUCCUUACAGCCAUGCGGCCCAAGACAGCUUUUUGCACCUGGCCCCCCGUGGAAAAAAGUUUGGAGACCCUUGACUCUUUUCAGUUUUUGAAAUAAACUCUUUUCAAGAUGAUCAUUAGCCAACUUCUUUUAUUCAAAUCUCAAACAUUGGUUUUGGUUGUAUGAAAACUAUGUGCAAAGUCUUCAUGGUUUAGAGCCACCAUACAAGCAAAAAAUCACAUCUGAUAAGCUAAUUGGUCUCCCAAGAAACAGUACUUUAUGGCUUUAUUUUAAUUGUAAUCUUGCUGCUAUCAUUAUUUCACUAAAGUGGCCAUAAGAAAAGAACUGGAUUAUACUGUAUAUUAAUGUUUAUUUUGGGUUUAACAGGUAUAGUUUAAUGACCAUGGCCUCAUAACCUUACUGUUUUAUAUCACUGAAAUUCCAUAGGGUGGACCCAGGUUUCAACAGGCUAUGAUGAUCAGAUAGUCACAUUACGACUGAUACCACUGGAGGACACAGACAAACUGGAAGGAGAGAAGAACACUGAGGGGCAAGUACUGCAGAUGGCCACAACCUCAGAGCAAGCGAGACAGGCAAAUCUGUGCAGGAGCAAGUAGCUCAGGUGGAGCAGGCAGGCAUCUUGGAGGAGAUGGAGCAGGCUCCGUGUCCUCCAGGUUAGACUUUGGAGGAGAUGGAGUCGGCAAGCACCCUGGAUGUGCAAGAGGCAUCGAGGGAUAUGCCAGAGAAGAAAACGGCACAAAAGAAUUGCUCCUACCACACUCGCCUAGAGGCUUUCCCUAACAGGAGACAAUUAAAAGAAAGAGUGAGGAAGUAGGAGGGAAAAGAAGUUUUGGUUGAGUGGGAGCCCUGUCCAGAAUGUGGUAAGAAGUGGGCUUAUUCCUGGCAGCCAAAGGAAUCAAUUUUAAAUCCUAGUUAAAAAUCAUAUGUAGACUUCAAAAAGUACAGCUUUUCAGAAGCACUUCAGCAAUGUGACACUUUUAUUUUUUUUUUACCACAUUUUAACAUGUAGUGUUGAUGUUUAA